CCUUCCCUUCCCUCCCUUUUACACUUUCUCCGCCCUGUUGGAGCGGUGUGUGGGGUACAGUAAGAUGUAUGCGCUGGAUAUUGCAUAACUUGGCGGAGCGGAGGGGGCCGAAGGAGGAAGAAAGGGAAGGCAGCUGACAUUGACGUAAUCGCCCAAUGAAACAUAUACAACCAUUCAGUUGACACACAGUGAACCUCCGCAUCUUACAAUACAACAAAUCCACAAUACAAAACCCAUAAAACACUAUUUCACCCCAUGAUGAUAGAUGAUCUUAUCCAGCAGUUUCAUGUAGAUGUUAAACAGGAGCAGAGAAAGCACUGACCCCUGUGGGACCCUUGAUCUGACCUCUCACUACCAAUCAACACGAACUGAAAAUGGUCUCAGAGGAAGGAAGUGAAACAGGAGUGUGCCCUCUUCCAACCACUGGAGUUGCUCAAGAAGGAUACCAUGGUUGAUGUUAUUGAAAGUCGCUGAGAGUUUUGCAAUAUAACUGCCAGAGAGUAAGGCAGAAUGUGGAACCCCUAUCUCUGAUACACAAGUACAGUUCAAGAGAAGAUGCCAGGUGACACAUUUUCUGGAAGAGAAAGGUUCACGGCAAAAAUUAUCUACUUCAUGGGGCAGGGGAUGGAGGAUUUUUGGGAAAAAAAGGUUUGAAAAUUCAAUUCUUCUAUUUUUUUAGUUUAAAAUUCUUAGCAAGUUGCAGUACAAUAUUUAAAAUGCAUAUUUCAAAUAAUAAUUAAGUUUUAUUUGUGUAUUUGCUGAAAAUGUAAAGUGCAAUAUAUUUAGUUCACAUUUGAAUAUAAAGUUAUUUAUCCACCAUCCCUACAAAAUUUCUCAUCUCCCAUAAAAUAUGUGCUGUGGCGAGGCUAGUUCAUACAGGCACAUUUUUCCUUCCCUUCUGAAAAUAUAUAUUUAUAGGAAUAUAUAAAUAGCAUCUUAAUACUGUAACUAAAAGGUUAGAAUAUGCAAGCCGCCUGGAUAAGGUUACCAAGAAUGAAAUCAAUAAAGAAGGUUAUAGCUCACAUUCCUAAUCAUUUGUGCAUAAAUAUUCUAAACUGGCAUUGGUAUAUUAUAAAAAAUAUACUACACAUGAUUCUCAACUUCCCCUUCUGCUGUUGGCUAUUAAUGCAAUUUUAUCUCUUUUUUCCCCCAAGUCAGUGGCUUUAUUAAGAGGCCUUGAAUGAAUGGAAGAGGAGGCAAAUGGCUUAUGCACUUUUCAACAGGAUAAGGGUGAAGUACUCAUACCUUCUGUCCCUAGUCAAAGGAAGGGUUAAUGGAUUCUACUCUAUCUCACCCCAUAUUUUAAAUCUAUAGAUUUAUAUAGUUUAUAAUGCUAGUUUAUAAUACUAGCUGAUAUAAAUGGGCUAGUAUUAAGUAUUCUGAUUCUAUUUGAAGUAACAGUGGAGUAGGAUGUGACAAACUUUAUUGGAUGUCCUGGUUAUUGAAUGUAAUGCCCAGACAACAUUUUCAGUGAGCCUGUUCUGGAAACUUUCUUUUCUAUGCUCAGAAUGAAGUUUUGAAAGUGAAAACCACUGAUAAAUUACAGAUUUGUUCUUAUUUCCUGUAAUUUAUGAAUUGAAUACCCAUCAACCUCACACAAUUACAAUUAGGGAAACCUUAUUUUGUGACAGUGGGCAUAACUUCUGGAUAUAAUGCUCGGUUAUUGAGAAAUGAAACACAGCAUUUGUCUCCCUACACUUUUUAUUUCACACCAGUAGCCUGCUUGAUAGUUUACUGUAUGGGACCAGAACAAAUGACCUUAUAGUUGGCAAAUGAAAUAAAGGUGACAGAAUAAAAAUGCACGGGCUAAGACAAGUCAGAUCCUAGUGAAAAAAUAAAUAAUGUAUGACUAACCUGCCUAGGACAGUUUUUUUCUAUGAGAGCUCUUCCUAAAACAGAUGGGAAAACUACAGUACUCCUAUUCCAAAAUUGAAAGGGGCUUCAUUUGAUGAAGAAAAAGUCGGAUACAUUUUGUCUCUUUCCUUUGUUUGUCAGAACUGAUUUAUUUACCCUUUAAAAAAGUCUCUAUAGUACUGGUAAUGUAGCGACAUCAUUUUAUUUCAUCUGCGGCUUAUAGGGAACAUAAAUAUUUCUAUUUGUUUGGGCAAUAGAUAUAUUUCUUCAAAAAUCCAGACUGAUGCAAAUAGAAAACUGUUGAAAAAUUGUGUUGGUCUCCCAUGGAAAAUGAGACACGCAUGCAGGUAUCUCGGGAUGGGAGCCCAGAGCUGACUCCAACACCCUAUUUUAUUGUUACUAACGUUUUUACAUCACACAGCGUAAUCAAAAGACGUAUAUAGGGGUGGUUACAAUGUAUCAAA
Long non-coding RNA from Crotalus tigris (Tiger rattlesnake), 2318 nucleotides. RefSeq lists it as uncharacterized. The record is from RefSeq and is a predicted model, not a curated record. The transcript has 3 exons. Lineage: Eukaryota; Metazoa; Chordata; Lepidosauria; Squamata; Viperidae.